AUUUUUUUUUAAUAUCAUAUUUAUGUAGUUCCCACUCGUCAAUGCCUUUAAACAGAUUUUUUUUUUUUUUGCCACUGUCAGCAUAGUUGACAAGGUUAGGCUAGACUGCAACAAAUAACCUGUAUAAUAUGUACUCCCUUGUGGAUCGCUACAUCGUCUUGACAACGCAUUGAUGGAUGGUAUUACAUCAUUUAUGGAAAUUUAUUCCACGAGGGAACAUAUUUGACUAUACAUCAAGUAUUGUAUAUAUAAAUAUAUAUACACUGCAGCAAGAAUUUUACAGACAAGUUCACCUAAUGCACACAACAGUGCAAAACUACUGCACUGAAACAUACUCCCCAUUUAAAUCUCGGUGCAAAAUUUUUCUUCUUCGUGCAGUUCUUUCUCGACAAAUUCUCCUGAAUCUUGCAUUGUGCAAGUGUGUGGUUCAUGCACAAUGGAAGAAAGGAAGUCAUUCCCAGCCACUAUAUUUUGCUGGCUGCCUCGGAAAGCAAAUUGAAAUAAACCAAGGACUGCACCGAGGCGUUGGUAUGCGAGCGUCAACCGGGAAAUAAAAACAAGGCCGACAUACAAAUGAGCUGACAGGACCGGACAGAACUCGAGAAACUGAAUACGCAUUGACAACGAGACACGGGUGGGGAGGACAUGAUGGUUGACGGGAAACGGAUUUGUUAGCCACACGGGCGCAUCUAAUCAAAGAAAAAUUGGGGGGCCGUUCUGCCGGGGCUGUGAAGCAAUGCAUUGCACAGUAACUUCUUGCAGCCAUAGGAGGUCAGUGUGGCGACAUGAAUGUCAACGGACACAUCGAUGGGAAGAUCAACUCUGACAAAUGUUUCCACCAACCAACCAAUUCCAGAGCUCAUUUAGGAGGACAGUCCCACGGCAUGCAAGUACCUCUCAUGUCAUCACACUCGCAAGACAUUGUCUCUUGGAAUGCGCCGGGAAUCCACAUCUGUGAGCAGCAUGUAGACGUUUCCCUUGAUGGAUUCAGACUUCGAAAUGUCGUUAACGCAUGCUUGUGAAUUACACCGAGCGUUUUGAAGAGAAAUGUGCCAUUUCGCAGCAUGGCCAUGGCUGAGCGCAGGAGAUAUGUGGCGUGAUUCGCACACGCUGCGGCUUAUUCUGAAAGCGCAUUUUACGUGCUGGAGCUACAGUGUUGCGUUCCGCCAUUGCUGAUUUGACUGUGACCGGGUCAUUUUGCGCUGAGGAUAAAGAAUAUGUAACUGA
Molecule: long non-coding RNA, 1227 nt
Organism: Hippocampus comes (tiger tail seahorse)
Lineage: Eukaryota; Metazoa; Chordata; Actinopteri; Syngnathiformes; Syngnathidae
Exons: 3
Source: RefSeq, a predicted model, not a curated record